Molecule: long non-coding RNA, 624 nt
Filed under: Macaca nemestrina (pig-tailed macaque)
Lineage: Eukaryota; Metazoa; Chordata; Mammalia; Primates; Cercopithecidae
Description: lncRNA (ENSMNEG00000045892.1)
Source: RNAcentral
CCCACCUCCCAUGUCAGCCUGCUGAGCGGGCUUGGCCCAGGUUCUUGUGCUUCACAGAGAAGAUUUAUUCCUCAAGACUGACCUACAUGGACGUCUGAAUUGUAAUGGCUGAAUGUUCUAGAUGGCUGUUGGUCCCCGGAAUCAACAGGAAGCGAUGAGCCCUUUGAUAACAGGUGCUUCUGGGAGCAGUCCCUGCUAGCCAGCUUAGCUUCAAAACAGAGCAAUGCUAGAAAAGACAAGGACUGGAGGCUGAGAAAGGUGAGCCAGCGCCAUGAGGAGUGGCUGCCUCUUGAAUCCUGUCAGUCUCCGGCAGAUCCGAUUACAUCUGGGGCCCUUAAGAGUACUUCAAGCAAACGGCGCUGGUCUAUUUUAAUCCUGCUCCUUCUAGAAACCAGAAACUGUAAGGAGAGUCUUCCUGCUGACAGGUGGCUCCAUAAAAGUCGUCCAUCUGCUGCUAAUUAUGGCAGAAAGAAAAUUCACAGAGCCGAGUUUUCAGUUUAUUUGCUAAAGAUCUCCAAAGGUGUAACUGUCUUCCCAGAUCACAAGGCCAUUCACAGCAUUACAUCUAGAGCGCUUGUUAAUUAUUUAAAUAAUUUACAACCCGGGGUGGCAGCGAGCAUUUAA